AUACGUAGGGGGCGAGCGUUGUCCGGAAUGAUUGGGCGUAAAGGGCGCGUAGGCGGCCCGGUAAGUCUGGAGUGAAAGUCCUGUUUUUAAGAUGGGAAUUGCUUUGGAUACUGUCGGGCUUGAGUGCGGGAGAGGUAAGUGGAAUUCCCAGUGUAGCGGUGAAAUGCGUAGAGAUUGGGAGGAACACCAGUGGCGAAGGCGACUUACUGGACUGUAACUGACGCUGAGGCGCGAAAGUGUGGGGAGCAAACAGGAUUAGAUGCCCUGGUAGUCCACACUGUAAACGAUGAAUGCUAGGUGUAGGGGGUAUCGACCCCUUCUGUGCCGCAGUCAACACAAUAAGCAUUCCGCCUGGGGAGUACGGCCGCAAGGUUGAAACUCAAAGGAAUUGACGGGG
RNAcentral lists this ribosomal RNA (397 nucleotides) under uncultured bacterium. RNAcentral's name for it is "partial 16S ribosomal RNA". It matches the Rfam family "Bacterial small subunit ribosomal RNA", at positions 523 to 918 of the family's 1533-position model. The record is from RNAcentral.